CCUCACACCAACUAUAAAAGCCCUUCCUUUGUUCCAUAAUUUUUCAUUCCUCAAAUGCAUUCUCUAUUUCUCUAUACAUUUCUCCACCUUGGAGAAUAUAUUUAAGCUUUCUUUUCUAUCGUUCCAAAAAUAGUUUUCAAAAUUGGUGCACCAAAAUCUAGAAUGCAAUAGGGAGAAGUAAUCCACCAGCACCAACAACUCUAUUACAGGCUUGAGGGUUCAUAUGUGAGUCCCUUAGCUUUCCCACUGGAUUAUUUAUUUAUAAUAAAAGGUCGCUAGACACUCUAUCUAGUGGUAUUAAGUCACUAGAGAGUGAGAGUUUAUUUUUCUUAAUGUAAUUAUCAACAACAAAUUUAUGAACAAUAUUUUAUGUUUUUUCUUAA
Molecule: long non-coding RNA, 383 nt
Organism: Solanum stenotomum
Lineage: Eukaryota; Viridiplantae; Streptophyta; Magnoliopsida; Solanales; Solanaceae
Exons: 2
Source: RefSeq, a predicted model, not a curated record